GACGAACGCUGGCGGCGUGCUUAACACAUGCAAGUCGAACGAUGACGGAGAGCUUGCUCUUCUGAUUAGUGGCGAACGGGUGAGUAACACGUGAGUAACCUGCCCUUGACUCUGGGAUAAGCACUGGAAACGGUGUCUAAUACCGGAUACGAGCUUCAGCCGCAUGGCUAGGAGCUGGAAAGAAUUUUGGUCAAGGAUGGACUCGCGGCCUAUCAGCUAGUUGGUGAGGUAACGGCCCACCAAGGCGACGACGGGUAGCCGGCCUGAGAGGGUGACCGGCCACACUGGGACUGAGACACGGCCCAGACUCCUACGGGAGGCAGCAGUGGGGAAUAUUGCACAAUGGGCGAAAGCCUGAUGCAGCAACGCCGCGUGAGGGACGACGGCCUUCGGGUUGUAAACCUCUUUUAGUAGGGAAGAAGCGAAAGUGACGGUACCUGCAGAAAAAGCACCGGCUAACUACGUGCCAGCAGCCGCGGUAAUACGUAGGGUGCAAGCGUUGUCCGGAAUUAUUGGGCGUAAAGAGCUCGUAGGCGGUUUGUCGCGUCUGCUGUGAAAACCCGAGGCUCAACCUCGGGCCUGCAGUGGGUACGGGCAGACUAGAGUGCGGUAGGGGAGAUUGGAAUUCCUGGUGUAGCGGUGGAAUGCGCAGAUAUCAGGAGGAACACCGAUGGCGAAGGCAGAUCUCUGGGCCGUAACUGACGCUGAGGAGCGAAAGCAUGGGGAGCGAACAGGAUUAGAUACCCUGGUAGUCC
Molecule: ribosomal RNA, 755 nt
Filed under: uncultured bacterium
Lineage: Bacteria
Description: bacterial SSU rRNA
Rfam family: Bacterial small subunit ribosomal RNA
Source: RNAcentral